This 2241-nucleotide ribosomal RNA is filed under the name Triticum aestivum (bread wheat). RNAcentral's name for it is "partial small subunit ribosomal RNA". Lineage: Eukaryota; Viridiplantae; Streptophyta; Magnoliopsida; Poales; Poaceae. The record is from RNAcentral.
AUGACGUCGACCCCCUCGCAAUCCCGGCUGAGUCCAUUGCUAACUCUAAGACUACUACUUCUCCUUGCAGCAGCAGCAACCCAGCGGUUGAUCCUGCAGGGCGGUGCUGGUGCUGAAGAGCAGGAGCAGCAGCGUCGACCCAUCACGCUUGAGGGUUGCCAGGCCAUGUGUGGCAACAUCAGCAUCCCCUUCCCGUUCGGCAUAAAGCCUGGAUGCUUCGUCAAGGGCUUCCAGGUCACCUGCAACGACUCAUUCGACCCACCUCGCGUCUUCCUCUUCUACAACAGGACGGCAGUAACAUACUGCUACAACGAGAUGGGCGAGGGCGCGUACUCGGCGAGCAUGUUGGAACCGACGCUGAAGAGGAGGUGGGAAGCACCGGUGGAACUCAUGGACAUAUCGAUUGCCAAGAGCGAGGCACGGGCGUACGGACUAGUGAGAUCCGACUGCAGCACGAAUGCGCUCGACCACCUGCUGAAGCUUCAGGUUACGUGGCUGCGUGAGCCAUUCUACCUGUCGGAGAAGCGCAACGUUCUCAUCAGUGUCGGCUUCGGUGUCGAAGCUAGGAUGGGCAGCGGCUUACUGGGCUCGACGAGCUACGAUACGACAUGCUAUUCAACAGUCGGCCCUACCUGCGAGGUCGCCUUUUCAAAAGGAAGCAUCCUCACCUCGUUUGGUGUGACAUUCGAACCAGAGAAUAACACUUUUUGGGAAAAUUCUCCCUGCUCCUACGGCAUGGUGGUGGAGAGCUCGUGGUACAACUUCUCUGAGGAGGACAGGCGCGGCUACGAGGUGCUAUCCAACAAGUACUCGAGGGGUGUCCCCGUGGUGCUCGAUUUCGCCUUUAGGGAUGGUUCAUGUCCGUAUGCGGACUGCUCUGUCCGUCCAGGCUACAGGUGCGUCAACGGCAACAGCUCCUGUGUCAAUGCAACCAGUGCCGAAGGCUAUUUCUGCAAGUGCUGGGAACAUUACGAUGGCAACCCUUACAUUCCUAAUGGAUGCCAAGACAUCAACGAGUGCGAGCUCCGGGAACAAAAUACCGAUCUCCGUGAUUUGUAUCCUUGUGAUGGGAUCUGUAAGAACAGGCUGGGAGGCUAUGACUGUAGAUGCAAACCCGGAAUGAAAGGGGACGCCAUAAAAGGAACAUGUACGGAGAAAUUCCCCCUAGCAGCAAAGGUGGUUGUGGGCCUUGCUGCUAUGAUUGUUGUCUCUGUCCUCAUGGUUAUGGUCCAUCAACUCCUAAAAUUCAAAAGGUUCUAUGAACAAAAUGGUGGUCCGGUACUAAAAGGUGUAAAGAACAUAAGGAUCUAUACAAGGAAACAAAUGAAACAAAUGACAAAUAACUACAAGCGUGUAGUUGGAGAGGGUCAUUUUGGCAAGGUAUAUCUGGGGACUCUGAAAGACAAACAAAAGGUGGCUAUAAAGAAGUCCAUCGAGGUUGACAAGCACAUGAAGAAGGAGUUCACUGAUGAGGUUAUAAUCCAGUCUGCGAUGAGACACAAGAACAUUGUCAUGCUCCUAGGCUGCUGCUUAGAGGUGGAUGUUCCCAUGUUGGUGUACGAGUUCGUAGCGAGAGGGAGUCUGUAUGAUGUCCUCUUCAAGUGCAGAGAUAAGAUUCUAGUGGGCACACGACUGAGGAUUGCUGUCGGGUCAGCCGAAGGCUUGACAUACAUGCAUUCAGCAGGGGAGAGCACAAUCCGUCAUGGUGAUGCUAAAUCUGCCAAUAUCCUUCUCGACGAAAAGUUCAGCCCAAAAGUUUCAGACUUUGGGACAUCAAAGCUACUCGCGAGAGGAAAAGCCGAGAUGACAGAACAUGUCAUUGGGGACAUGAGCUACAUUGAUCCGGUAUAUAUGGAGCAAGGGAUCGUUACACAGAAGAGCGAUGUCUACGGCUUCGGAGUUGUCCUCAUAGAACUUAUCACAAGGAGGCCUGCAACAUAUGAUGCUGAGAGGAGCUAUGUUGCAAAUUUUGUUGAAGCUUGUCUAGCAAAAAGAGCAAGAAACUUUAUUGAUAACGAUGUUACAAGUGAGGCGGAUAUCAAUCUCUUGGAAAUGGUUAGCAGGGUCGCCGUGGAUUGUCUAAAGCCCAAUCCAGAAGAACGACAAGAUAUGAAACAUGUAGAGCACCGCCUCCUUGAGAUUGUUGCACAGUCUGAAGAUCAUAGUCAGGAGAGGGACUACAAGGGAGAUUUUAGUCCGGCACCAGAUGAUGUUGCUUUGCUUAAAGGCUUGGGAGAAUAA